AGCCACCCAGGCAUCCCUAAAAAAGUAUUUUUAAAUUGUAUUGUGUUCUCUCUCUCUCUCUCUCUUUUUUUCCUGGAUUCAGAAACUAGCAUUUCUGCAGUUUCAGUUUUUAAGCAUUCAUUUUCCUUUUUUGCUUCAUGGAACUAAUCAUAUUGUUUUGAGAUUGAGAGAAGUUUAGAACCUGUAAUGCAAUCCUAGCUGGAACUGUGCAGAAUUUUUGGAAUUCUUCAUGAAGGAAUUGUAAAGGAAGGCACACAGAAGAGGUGAAAGAAAUCUGAAGUUUCAGAAAUUGCGUUUAUUUAGCAUACUAACUCUGGAUGAGCUUAUAUUCUGGAGAGGACUGCAUCAAAUUCCAGAGAAUCAAGCCUAUUUUUCCAAGAUUGGACUUACCAUCUAUUAUGGAAUUUGAUCACAGUAUCUGGAAAAUGUUUUAGAAGUCAUCAAGUACAUCAAUUACUAUUUUCUUUUGUUGAAAAUAUAUGAGAGAUUAAAUUAAGUUCAAUAUGUAGGAUUUUAUUUUAUUUUAUUUUUUAUUUUAUUUUUUUAAUUUUUAUUUAUUUAUGAUAGUCACAGAGAGAAAG
RNAcentral lists this long non-coding RNA (581 nucleotides) under Vulpes vulpes (red fox). RNAcentral describes it as "lncRNA (ENSVVUG00000013728.1)". Lineage: Eukaryota; Metazoa; Chordata; Mammalia; Carnivora; Canidae. The record is from RNAcentral.